Cygnus olor (mute swan) is the source of this 1216-nucleotide long non-coding RNA. RefSeq lists it as uncharacterized. NCBI's taxonomy places the organism in Eukaryota, Metazoa, Chordata, Aves, Anseriformes, Anatidae. The record is from RefSeq and is a predicted model, not a curated record. The transcript is spliced from 3 exons.
GCAGGAGGCUGUCUGUACCCCUCCUCUAUUGAACAGUUAGCUUCCCCUGCCCCGAUUCCUGUCUGCCUCGCAGGAAUGCCGUUACCAUGAGCUGUUUCUAAAGAGGAUCCCGGGAGGAAAGGAGAAAGCGUGUGAGCAAGAGUUUCUGCUUCCUCGGUUCGUGCGGGCGUGUACGUGUUGCUGGGUGGCAUGACUCACCGCGCAGCCCAAUGAAGUAAAUGGGGAUGUGCGAGCUCCCAAAGCCAGCACAAAGUAUUUCCCUUAAAUAGUGAUUCUGCACUUUAAUGACUCUGCAGAGCUAAAUUUAGAGGCGGAUCUAAGAUGUGCUUUCUAAAAAGCAGCGUUUCUUUACAACUGCUGUUCCCCCACACGCACGCUGCCGAGCCACGAUGCCUGCGUGCGCUCCUGCGAGUCUUGUGGCAGCGCUCAUACCUCUGCGUGGUGUGCACACAGAGAGGGCUUUUAUGGUGACUGACAGCGGAUCCUGUGGUUCCUGUUCACCGUUUCAGCAUUAUAUGCUGUCUCCUGCCGAGAGAAGAAAAGUUCCUGUUCCAGGCAGCAGAGGACAGUAACUCAUGACUUGCUAAUAUGAAUCAGUUUGCAGUUUUUUUUCUAACCUGUACUUUUUUUUUAACCUUUUAUUCUGCCUUGUGGCACAGCCACAUCCCUAAGCUAAAGGAUCGGUCGCCUAUAGUUUGUAUUUCCGCCACCUCUCCUCCCCUCUGUAUCCUCUGCUUCUGUUCCCCAGGGCUGUGGCAGAGCCCGGCAGGGUAGCAUGUCAGCCCUGGCUCCCUUCCUUCACAGAUUUGGCCUCAGUGCUGACUCAACACGCGUUCCACAUUUAAAGGGGACGAAGUCUACUUUAUACAGCACGUGUGAUACCGGCUUUUAACCCCUGAAACACCGUUCCUCUGUGGAUUGCCUCACAAAACCACACCUGCUGUUUUUCACAAGAGUUGUUAAGGAAAGGGACUACGAGGAGUACCAGCGCGUGUGGACUGACCUCCCACGUAACAUCACUUCGCUGAUAGUCCUUGUCAAGGAGAAGCCCAGUUCCUGACUCCGUGCAAGAAGAACACUCGUUGUGCCUCUCUCUCUGCAACACCCUUUUUAAAGCUGCUAUAAUCUCUUCCCACAAUUGGAGGACUGUUGUAAGCUAAAAAUUAAUAUCAAAUAUGCUUCAUAGACCAAUUAAAAAUUUUGACUUUCUUCUGGA